RNAcentral lists this long non-coding RNA (701 nucleotides) under Phaseolus vulgaris (common bean). RNAcentral describes it as "long non-coding RNA (PVUL_LNC001834)". The record is from RNAcentral. Lineage: Eukaryota; Viridiplantae; Streptophyta; Magnoliopsida; Fabales; Fabaceae.
UCCUGAAGCUAUAAUAACUAUUUUUUGUGCACUUGAUGCCUUAAUUGUUGACUUUGGAGGUCCUGAAGCCCUUGGUCCUGAAAUUUCAUGAAUUGCUUUUGGUGGUCCUGAAGCUAUAAUAACUGUUUUUGAUCCACUUGAUGCCUUAAUUGUUGACUUCGGAGGUCCGGAAGCCCUUGGUCCUGAAAUUUCAUGAAUUGAUUUUGGUGGUCCUGAAGCUAUAAUAACUGUUUUUGAUCCACUUGAUGCCUUAAUUGUUGACUUCGGAGGUCCUGAAGCCCUUGGUCCUGAAAUUUCAUGAAUUGAUUUUGGUGGUCCUGAAGCUAUAAUAACUGUUUUUGAUCCACUUGAUGCCUUAAUUGUUGACUUCGGAGGUCCUGAAACCCUUGGUCCUGAAAUUUCAUGAAUUGCUUUUGGUGGUCCUAAAGCUAUAAUAACUGUUUUUGAUCCACUUGAUGCCUUAAUUGUUGACUUCGGAGGUCCUGAAGCCCUUGGUCCUGAAAUUUCAUGAAUUGAUUUUGGUGGUCCUGAAGCUAUAAUAACUGUUUUUGAUCCACUUGAUUCCUUAAUUGUUGACUUCGGAGGUCCUGAAGCCCUUGGUCCUGAAAUUUCAUGAAUUGAUUUUGGUGGUCCUGAAGCUAUAAUAACUGUUUUUUGUGCACAAGAUGGUGGUUUUGGACCUGCAGUUGCAUGAGAUGGUG